This is a long non-coding RNA of Anopheles gambiae (African malaria mosquito), 858 nucleotides long. RefSeq lists it as uncharacterized. The record is from RefSeq and is a predicted model, not a curated record. Lineage: Eukaryota; Metazoa; Arthropoda; Insecta; Diptera; Culicidae. The transcript has 4 exons.
CCGGCAAACAAUGCGAGGGUUGGUGAGGUACCUCUCGCUCUAAUUUCUCUAGUCUAGUCUAGUUGCCUCGCUUCCUCCUAUAGCGAUUCUGUCGAGCUGAGCUUUCACGUCCCUCACCACCGAUCUCCUUCCUACCCCUCGCCUAAGACCGUCUGACGUCUCGCCUGACUGCUUUCGUUGUGUUGGUGCUCGGCGGCUGCUGUCACUGUAGAAGUUAGGUUGUGUGUGUAAAAAAAUGUAAACAGUGUUGUUGGCUGAUCAAGUGCGGUAAGUUUUUUAAUAAUUAUGUUCUUAAUUUUACGUAAGUAAGUGCCAUUUUAGCAAAAGAAAGUGGUAGAAGUCCUGCCCAAUGUGUGCUGGCUCCGUCGGAAGCGUUACGUGCAUGUACCGGCGUAGGAAAGUGGUGUGGUGAACAACACAGCACAAGACAGCGGAUAUAAUUCAGAAACGAUAUGGGCCUGCGGCAGGUGUUUGCGACUGUGCGCUGUGUAUGAUUGUGUAUGAUACGCCAAUUUUCCUCUAUCCUGGAACGUGGGCUUACGAGGAACCGUUCAAGAAGAUCCUCCGGAAGCUGUACGGCGACGUGUCGGGCUCUACCAGCACAACACACUAGAGGCCCAGCCGGUACCGGGUGCCCCGAUUGCGCCGCCAGACGGUGUCGAGCGCGCUCGUUAACAACGUUCGGGGCAGGAAUUCAACCCUUCGGAUCUGCAUUAUCCUCUGCCUCACAAUAGCUGCAGCAGCAACAGGACCGAACCGACCGCACUACUGAUUGCGGUCAAAUACUGAUUGCGGUCCUGGCAGGAGAAAAAAUCCCACAAGUGUAUCGAACAGGCUACGGACGGACCCCGAAAAGGC